Molecule: ribosomal RNA, 308 nt
Filed under: uncultured bacterium
Lineage: Bacteria
Description: bacterial SSU rRNA
Rfam family: Bacterial small subunit ribosomal RNA
Source: RNAcentral
AUUGAACGCUGGCGGUAUGCUUAACACAUGCAAGUCGAACGGUAACAGAAGAAGCUUGCUUCUUGCUGACGAGUGGCGGACGGGUGAGUAAUGCAUAGGAAUCUGCCCAGUGGUGGGGGAUAACCCAGGGAAACUUGGACUAAUACCGCAUAAUACCUACGGGUGAAAGAGGGGGAUCUUCGGACCUCUCGCCAUUGGAUGAGCCUAUGUCUGAUUAGCUAGUUGGUGGGGUAAAGGCCUACCAAGGCGACGAUCAGUAGCUGGUCUGAGAGGAUGAUCAGCCACACUGGGACUGAGACACGGCCCAG